UGAAGCCCGUUUCCCUUCGGGGCCGGAUCACAGGUGCUGCACGGCUGUCGUCAGCUCGUGCCGUGAGGUGUUGGGUUAAGUCCCGCAACGAGCGCAACCCUCGUCGUUAGUUGUAUUUCUCUAGCGAGACCGCUGCGUACAACGCAGAGGAAGGUGGGGACGAUGUCAAGUCAGCGUGGCCCUUACGCCCAGGGCGACACACACGCUACAAUGGCCGGUACAACGGGCAGCCACUGCGCGAGCAGGAGCGAAUCCCUCAAAACCGGCCCCAGUUCGGAUAGCAGGCUGAAACUCGCCUGCUUGAAGCCGGAGUUGCUAGUAACCGCAGGUCAGCCACACUGCGGUGAAUA
This 350-nucleotide ribosomal RNA is filed under the name uncultured bacterium. RNAcentral's name for it is "bacterial SSU rRNA". It matches the Rfam family "Bacterial small subunit ribosomal RNA", at positions 1004 to 1368 of the family's 1533-position model. The record is from RNAcentral.